This 400-nucleotide ribosomal RNA is filed under the name uncultured bacterium. RNAcentral describes it as "bacterial SSU rRNA". It matches the Rfam family "Bacterial small subunit ribosomal RNA", at positions 975 to 1375 of the family's 1533-position model. The record is from RNAcentral.
CAGCUCUUGACAUUCACUGAUUGCCGGCAGAGAUGCCGGAGUUCCAGCAAUGGACAGUGGGACAGGUGCUGCAUGGCUGUCGUCAGCUCGUGUCGUGAGAUGUUGGGUUAAGUCCCGCAACGAGCGCAACCCUCGCCAUUAGUUGCCAUCAUUAAGUUGGGCACUCUAGUGGGACUGCCGGUGAUAAGCCGGAGGAAGGUGGGGAUGACGUCAAGUCGUCAUGGCCCUUACGGGCUGGGCUACACACGUGCUACAAUGGCGGUGACAAUGCGCAGCCACCUAGCAAUAGGGAGCUAAUCGCAAAAAGCCGUCUCAGUUCAGAUUGAGGUCUGCAACUCGACCUCAUGAAGUCGGAAUCGCUAGUAAUCGCGCAUCAGCAUGGCGCGGUGAAUACGUUCCC